RNAcentral lists this ribosomal RNA (253 nucleotides) under uncultured bacterium. RNAcentral describes it as "partial 16S ribosomal RNA". It matches the Rfam family "Bacterial small subunit ribosomal RNA", at positions 524 to 776 of the family's 1533-position model. The record is from RNAcentral.
UACGGAGGGGGCAAGCGUUGUUCGGAAUGACUGGGCGUAAAGGGCGUGUAGGCGGCUACAUAAGUCAGACGUGAAAGCCCCGGGCUUAACCUGGGAAUUGCGUUUGAGACUGUGUAGCUAGAGUACGAGAGAGGAAAGCAGAAUUUCCAGUGUAGAGGUGAAAUUCGUAGAUAUUGGAAGGAAUACCAGUGGCGAAGGCGGCUUUCUGGAUCGUAACUGACGCUGAGGCGCGAAAGCGUGGGGAGCAAACAGG